RNAcentral lists this ribosomal RNA (260 nucleotides) under uncultured Glomus. Its description in RNAcentral is "partial 18S ribosomal RNA". It matches the Rfam family "Eukaryotic small subunit ribosomal RNA", at positions 624 to 885 of the family's 1831-position model. The record is from RNAcentral. Lineage: Eukaryota; Fungi; Glomeromycota; Glomeromycetes; Glomerales; Glomeraceae.
AAGCUCGUAGUUGAAUUUCGGGGUUAGUAGGUUGGUCAUGCCUCUGGUAUGUACUGGUCUCACUGAUUCCUCCUUCCUUAUGAACCGUAAUGCCAUUAAUUUGGUGUUGCGGGGAAUUUGGACUGUUACUUUGAAAAAAUUAGAGUGUUUAAAGCAAGCUAACGCUUGAAUACAUUAGCAUGGAAUAAUGAAAUAGGACGUUCGAUCUUAUUUUGUUUGGUUUUCUUAGGAUUGACGUAAUGAUUAAUAGGAUAGUUGGG